Molecule: ribosomal RNA, 1256 nt
Filed under: uncultured Methanomicrobia archaeon
Lineage: Archaea; Methanobacteriati; Methanobacteriota; Methanomicrobia
Description: bacterial SSU rRNA
Rfam family: Archaeal small subunit ribosomal RNA
Source: RNAcentral
UAAGCCAUGCGAGUCGAGAGGGGUAAGCCCUCGGCGCACUGCUCAGUAACACGUGGAUAACCUGCCCUCGAGACGGGGAUAACCCCGGGAAACUGGGGAUAAUAUCCGAUAGGCUAUAGAUCCUGGAAUGGUCUAUAGCUCAAAUGCGCUAGCGCUCGAGGAUGGGUCUGCGGCUGAUUAGGUUGUUGCCGGUGUAACGUACCGACAAGCCGAUAAUCAGUAUGGGCUGUGAGAGCAGGAGCCCAGAGAUGGAUUCUGAGACAUGAAUCCAGGCCCUACGGGGCGCAGCAGGCGCGAAACCUUCACACUGCGCGCAAGCGCGAUGAGGGGACCUCGAGUGUCGGUGCCAAGCAUCGACUGUCCCGCUGCCUAAAAAGCAGCGGUUGGCAAGGGCCGGGCAAGACCGGUGCCAGCCGCCGCGGUAACACCGGCGGCUCGAGUGGUGACCACUAUUAUUGAGCUUAAAGGGUUCGUAGCCGGUCUAGUAACUCUCUUGGGAAAUCUGGCGGCUUAACCGUCAGGCGUCCGGGAGAAACUGCUAGACUUGGGAGCGGAGGAGUUGGAGGUACUCCAGGGGUAGAGGUGAAAUUCUGUAAUCCUUGGGGGACCACCGGUGGCGAAGGCGUCCAACCAAAACGCGUUCGACGGUGAGGGACGAAAGCCAGGGGCACGAACCGGAUUAGAUACCCGGGUAGUCCUGGCCGUAAACGAUGCGGGCUAGGUGUCACAAUGGCUGCGAGCCACUGUGGUGCCGUAGAGAAAUCGCGAAGCCUGCCGCUUGGGAAGUACGGCCGCAAGGCUGAAACUUGAAGGAAUUGGCGGGGGAGCACUACAACGGGUGGAGCCUGCGGUUUAAUUGGAUUCAACGCCGGGAAGCUUACCGGGUGCGACAGCUGGAUGAAGGUCAGGCUAAAGACCUUGCUGGACUAGCUGAGAGGAGGUGCAUGGCCGUCGUCAGUUCGUACUGUGAAGCGUCCUGUUAAGUCAGGCAACGAACGAGAUCCACGCCCACUGUUGCCAGCGCGCCCUCCGGGGUGGCGGGUACACGGUGGGGACCGCUGGUGCUAAACCAGAGGAAGGAAUGGGUAACGGUAGGUCAGUAUGCCCCGAAUCUCCCGGGCUACACGCGUGCUACAAUGGUUGGGACAAUGGGUAUCGACCCCGAGAGGGGAAGGAAUCUCCUAAACCCAACCUUAGUUCGGAUCGGGGGCUGCAACUCGCCCCCGUGAAGAUGGAAUCCGUAGUAAUCGCGACUC